This 348-nucleotide unclassified non-coding RNA is filed under the name soil metagenome. RNAcentral's name for it is "partial contains 5.8S ribosomal RNA, internal transcribed spacer 2, and large subunit ribosomal RNA". The stretch from base 1 to 120 matches the Rfam family "5.8S ribosomal RNA", at positions 35 to 154 of the family's 154-position model. The record is from RNAcentral.
GAUGAAGAACGUAGCAAAAUGCGAUAAGUAAUGUGAAUUGCAGAAUUCAGUGAAUCAUCGAAUCUUUGAACGCACAUUGCGCCCGCUGGUAUUCCGGCGGGCAUGCCUGUUCGAGCGUCAUUUCAACCCUCAAGCCCCCGGGUUUGGUGUUGGGGAUCGGCUCUGCCCUUCUGGGCGGUGCCGCCCCCGAAAUACAUUGGCGGUCUCGCUGCAGCCUCCAUUGCGUAGUAGCUAACACCUCGUAACUGGAACGCGGCGCGGCCAUGCCGUAAAACCCCAACUUCUGAAUGUUGACCUCGGAUCAGGUAGGAAUACCCGCUGAACUUAAGCAUAUCAAUAAGCGGAGGA